AAGGAUGUAGCUCAGUGGUAGAGAGCAUGCUUAACACAUGCAAGGCCCUGGGUUUGAUCCCCAGCUCUUUCA
Molecule: transfer RNA, 72 nt
Filed under: Ictidomys tridecemlineatus (thirteen-lined ground squirrel)
Lineage: Eukaryota; Metazoa; Chordata; Mammalia; Rodentia; Sciuridae
Description: Spermophilus tridecemlineatus (thirteen-lined ground squirrel) tRNA
Rfam family: tRNA
About the family: Transfer RNA (tRNA) molecules are approximately 80 nucleotides in length. Their secondary structure includes four short double-helical elements and three loops (D, anti-codon, and T loops). Further hydrogen bonds mediate the characteristic L-shaped molecular structure. tRNAs have two regions of fundamental functional importance: the anti-codon, which is responsible for specific mRNA codon recognition, and the 3' end, to which the tRNAs corresponding amino acid is attached (by aminoacyl-tRNA synthetases). tRNAs cope with the degeneracy of the genetic code in two manners: having more than one tRNA (with a specific anti-codon) for a particular amino acid; and 'wobble' base-pairing, i.e. permitting non-standard base-pairing at the 3rd anti-codon position.
Source: Rfam by way of RNAcentral